RNAcentral lists this ribosomal RNA (253 nucleotides) under uncultured bacterium. RNAcentral describes it as "partial 16S ribosomal RNA". It matches the Rfam family "Bacterial small subunit ribosomal RNA", at positions 524 to 776 of the family's 1533-position model. The record is from RNAcentral.
UACGGAGGGUGCAAGCGUUAUCCGGAUUCACUGGGUUUAAAGGGUGCGUAGGUGGGCAGGUAAGUCAGUGGUGAAAUCUCUGGGCUUAACCCAGAAACUGCCGUUGAUACUAUCUGUCUUGAAUAUAGUGGAGGUGAGCGGAAUAUGUCAUGUAGCGGUGAAAUGCUUAGAUAUGACAUAGAACACCCAUUGCGAAGGCAGCUCGCUACACUAUAAUUGACACUGAGGCACGAAAGCGUGGGGAUCAAACAGG